RNAcentral lists this ribosomal RNA (307 nucleotides) under uncultured eukaryote. RNAcentral's name for it is "partial 18S ribosomal RNA". It matches the Rfam family "Eukaryotic small subunit ribosomal RNA", at positions 1470 to 1796 of the family's 1831-position model. The record is from RNAcentral.
CCCUUAGACGUUCUGGGCCGAACGCGCGCUACACUGACGAAGGCAACGAGCUUUCCUUUACCGAAAGGUACGGGUAAUCUUUUGAAACUUCGUCGUGCUGGGGAUAGAUCCUUGCAAUUUUUGAUCUUAAACGAGGAAUGCCUAGUAAGCGCAAGUCAUCAACUUGCGUUGAUUACGUCCCUGCCCUUUGUACACACCGCCCGUCGCUACUACCGAUUGAAUGGUUUAGUGAGGCCUUCGGAUCCGCGACUCGUUUGUGGAGAAGUUGGACAAACUCAGUCAUUUAGAGGAAGUAAAAGUCGUAACA